AGCCCUGUAGUGUAGUUCACGUCGGAUUGCAAAUCCGAAGACGCAGGUUAAACUCUGCCCGGGCUU
This 66-nucleotide transfer RNA is filed under the name Dawkinsia denisonii (Denison barb). RNAcentral describes it as "tRNA-Cys". It matches the Rfam family "tRNA". From Rfam's summary of the family: Transfer RNA (tRNA) molecules are approximately 80 nucleotides in length. Their secondary structure includes four short double-helical elements and three loops (D, anti-codon, and T loops). Lineage: Eukaryota; Metazoa; Chordata; Actinopteri; Cypriniformes; Cyprinidae. The record is from RNAcentral. RNAcentral also lists the same sequence under 1 other name.